AGUGAACGCUGGCGGUAGGCCUAACACAUGCAAGUCGAACGGCAGCACAGUAAGAGCUUGCUCUUACGGGUGGCGAGUGGCGGACGGGUGAGGAAUACAUCGGAAUCUACUUUUUCGUGGGGGAUAACGUAGGGAAACUUACGCUAAUACCGCAUACGACCUACGGGUGAAAGCAGGGGAUCUUCGGACCUUGCGCGAUUGAAUGAGCCGAUGUCGGAUUAGCUAGUUGGCGGGGUAAAGGCCCACCAAGGCGACGAUCCGUAGCUGGUCUGAGAGGAUGAUCAGCCACACUGGAACUGAGACACGGUCCAGACUCCUACGGGAGGCAGCAGUGGGGAAUAUUGGACAAUGGGCGCAAGCCUGAUCCAGCCAGACCGCGUGGGUGAAGAAGGCCUUCGGGUUGUAAAGCCCUUUUGUUGGGAAAGAAAAGCAGCAGGUUAAUACCCCGCCGUUCUGACGGUACCCAAAGAAUAAGCACCGGCUAACUUCGUG
This 492-nucleotide ribosomal RNA is filed under the name uncultured bacterium. RNAcentral describes it as "partial 16S ribosomal RNA". It matches the Rfam family "Bacterial small subunit ribosomal RNA", at positions 29 to 507 of the family's 1533-position model. The record is from RNAcentral.